This 2922-nucleotide ribosomal RNA is filed under the name Klebsiella pneumoniae. RNAcentral's name for it is "bacterial LSU rRNA". It matches the Rfam family "Bacterial large subunit ribosomal RNA". Lineage: Bacteria; Pseudomonadati; Pseudomonadota; Gammaproteobacteria; Enterobacterales; Enterobacteriaceae. The record is from RNAcentral.
GGGUUGUGAGGUUAAGCGACUAAGCGUACACGGUGGAUGCCCUGGCAGUCAGAGGCGAUGAAGGACGUGCUAAUCUGCGAAAAGCGUCGGUAAGGUGAUAUGAACCGUUAUAACCGGCGAUGUCCGAAUGGGGAAACCCAGUGCAAUUCGUUGCACUAUCGUUAACUGAAUACAUAGGUUAACGAGGCGAACCGGGGGAACUGAAACAUCUAAGUACCCCGAGGAAAAGAAAUCAACCGAGAUUCCCCCAGUAGCGGCGAGCGAACGGGGAGCAGCCCAGAGUCUGAAUCAGCUUGUGUGUUAGUGGAACGGUCUGGAAAGUCCGACGGUACAGGGUGAUAGUCCCGUACACCAAAAUGCACAGGCUGUGAACUCGAAGAGUAGGGCGGGACACGUGGUAUCCUGUCUGAAUAUGGGGGGACCAUCCUCCAAGGCUAAAUACUCCUGACUGACCGAUAGUGAACCAGUACCGUGAGGGAAAGGCGAAAAGAACCCCGGCGAGGGGAGUGAAAAAGAACCUGAAACCGUGUACGUACAAGCAGUGGGAGCACCUUCGGGUGUGACUGCGUACCUUUUGUAUAAUGGGUCAGCGACUUAUAUUCUGUAGCAAGGUUAACCGUAUAGGGGAGCCGCAGGGAAACCGAGUCUUAACUGGGCGUUAAGUUGCAGGGUAUAGACCCGAAACCCGGUGAUCUAGCCAUGGGCAGGUUGAAGGUUGGGUAACACUAACUGGAGGACCGAACCGACUAAUGUUGAAAAAUUAGCGGAUGACUUGUGGCUGGGGGUGAAAGGCCAAUCAAACCGGGAGAUAGCUGGUUCUCCCCGAAAGCUAUUUAGGUAGCGCCUCGUGAAUUCAUCUUCGGGGUAGAGCACUGUUUCGGCUAGGGGGUCAUCCCGACUUACCAACCCGAUGCAAACUACGAAUACCGAAGAAUGUUAUCACGGGAGACACACGGCGGGUGCUAACGUCCGUCGUGAAGAGGGAAACAACCCAGACCGCCAGCUAAGGUCCCAAAGUCAUGGUUAAGUGGGAAACGAUGUGGGAAGGCACAGACAGCCAGGAUGUUGGCUUAGAAGCAGCCAUCAUUUAAAGAAAGCGUAAUAGCUCACUGGUCGAGUCGGCCUGCGCGGAAGAUGUAACGGGGCUAAACCAUGCACCGAAGCUGCGGCAGCGACACUAUGUGUUGUUGGGUAGGGGAGCGUUCUGUAAGCCUGCGAAGGUGUGCUGUGAGGCAUGCUGGAGGUAUCAGAAGUGCGAAUGCUGACAUAAGUAACGAUAAAGCGGGUGAAAAGCCCGCUCGCCGGAAGACCAAGGGUUCCUGUCCAACGUUAAUCGGGGCAGGGUGAGUCGGCCCCUAAGGCGAGGCCGAAAGGCGUAGUCGAUGGGAAACAGGUUAAUAUUCCUGUACUUGGUGUUACUGCGAAGGGGGGACGGAGAAGGCUAUGUUAGCCGGGCGACGGUUGUCCCGGUUUAAGCAUGUAGGCUGGUUGUCCAGGCAAAUCCGGAUAAUCAAGGCUGAGGUGUGAUGACGAGGCACUACGGUGCUGAAGUAACAAAUGCCCUGCUUCCAGGAAAAGCCUCUAAGCAUCAGGUAACAUCAAAUCGUACCCCAAACCGACACAGGUGGUCAGGUAGAGAAUACCAAGGCGCUUGAGAGAACUCGGGUGAAGGAACUAGGCAAAAUGGUGCCGUAACUUCGGGAGAAGGCACGCUGGUGUGUAGGUGAAGUCCCUGCGGAUGGAGCUGAGACCAGUCGAAGAUACCAGCUGGCUGCAACUGUUUAUUAAAAACACAGCACUGUGCAAACACGAAAGUGGACGUAUACGGUGUGACGCCUGCCCGGUGCCGGAAGGUUAAUUGAUGGGGUUAUCCGUAAGGAGAAGCUCUUGAUCGAAGCCCCGGUAAACGGCGGCCGUAACUAUAACGGUCCUAAGGUAGCGAAAUUCCUUGUCGGGUAAGUUCCGACCUGCACGAAUGGCGUAAUGAUGGCCAGGCUGUCUCCACCCGAGACUCAGUGAAAUUGAACUCGCUGUGAAGAUGCAGUGUACCCGCGGCAAGACGGAAAGACCCCGUGAACCUUUACUAUAGCUUGACACUGAACAUUGAGCCUUGAUGUGUAGGAUAGGUGGGAGGCUUUGAAGCGUGGACGCCAGUCUGCGUGGAGCCAACCUUGAAAUACCACCCUUUAAUGUUUGAUGUUCUAACGUUGGCCCCUUACCGGGGUUGCGGACAGUGUCUGGUGGGUAGUUUGACUGGGGCGGUCUCCUCCCAAAGCGUAACGGAGGAGCACGAAGGUUAGCUAAUCCUGGUCGGACAUCAGGAGGUUAGUGCAAUGGCAUAAGCUAGCUUGACUGCGAGCGUGACGGCGCGAGCAGGUGCGAAAGCAGGUCAUAGUGAUCCGGUGGUUCUGAAUGGAAGGGCCAUCGCUCAACGGAUAAAAGGUACUCCGGGGAUAACAGGCUGAUACCGCCCAAGAGUUCAUAUCGACGGCGGUGUUUGGCACCUCGAUGUCGGCUCAUCACAUCCUGGGGCUGAAGUAGGUCCCAAGGGUAUGGCUGUUCGCCAUUUAAAGUGGUACGCGAGCUGGGUUUAGAACGUCGUGAGACAGUUCGGUCCCUAUCUGCCGUGGGCGCUGGAGAAUUGAGGGGGGCUGCUCCUAGUACGAGAGGACCGGAGUGGACGCAUCACUGGUGUUCGGGUUGUCAUGCCAAUGGCACUGCCCGGUAGCUAAAUGCGGAAGAGAUAAGUGCUGAAAGCAUCUAAGCACGAAACUUGCCCCGAGAUGAGUUCUCCCUGAGACUUUAAGUCUCCUGAAGGAACGUUGAAGACGACGACGUUGAUAGGCCGGGUGUGUAAGCGCAGCGAUGCGUUGAGCUAACCGGUACUAAUGAACCGUGAGGCUUAACCUUACAACGCCGAAG